RNAcentral lists this unclassified non-coding RNA (342 nucleotides) under air metagenome. RNAcentral describes it as "partial contains small subunit ribosomal RNA, internal transcribed spacer 1, and 5.8S ribosomal RNA". The stretch from base 1 to 46 matches the Rfam family "Eukaryotic small subunit ribosomal RNA", at positions 1786 to 1831 of the family's 1831-position model. The record is from RNAcentral.
AAGUCGUAACAAGGUUUCCGUAGGUGAACCUGCGGAAGGAUCAUUAUUGAAUAUAACUUUGAAAUCUUAUGGGUUGACGGUUUUGUUGCUGGUGUACCUCACGGUACAUAUGUGCACGUUCUGUUAGCUUGUGAGUUUCAUAGUCUCCACCUGUGAACCUUUUGUAGACUUUGGAUACACUCUCAUCUCUUCUGAGAUGGAUUUUGAAGGGUUGCUCUAACAAGCUCCCUUUGUUUUCCAAGUCUAUGUUAUAUAAUCUCUUGUAUGUUUAGAAUGUCUUGUUUAUUGGACUCUGUCCUUUAAAAACUUAUACAACUUUCAACAACGGAUCUCUUGGCUCUC